GAUGAAGAACGUAGCGAAAUGCGAUAAGUAAUGUGAAUUGCAGAAUUCAGUGAAUCAUCGAAUCUUUGAACGCACAUUGCGCCCGCCAGUAUUCUGGCGGGCAUGCCUGUUCGAGCGUCAUUUCAACCCUCAGGCCCCCAGUGCCUGGUGUUGGGGAUCGGCCCAGCCUUCCUGUAAGGCCGCCGGCCCCGAAAUCUAGUGGCGGUCUCGCUGUAGUCCACCUCUGCGUAGUAGCACAACCUCGCAGUUGGAACGCGGCGGUGGCCAUGCCGUUAAACACCCCACUUCUGAAAGUUGACCUCGGAUCAGGUAGGAAUACCCGCUGAACUUAAGCAUAUCAAUAAGCGGAGGA
This 352-nucleotide unclassified non-coding RNA is filed under the name soil metagenome. Its description in RNAcentral is "partial contains 5.8S ribosomal RNA, internal transcribed spacer 2, and large subunit ribosomal RNA". The stretch from base 1 to 120 matches the Rfam family "5.8S ribosomal RNA", at positions 35 to 154 of the family's 154-position model. The record is from RNAcentral.